UCCCCUAGUAACUGCGAGUGAAGCGGGAAAAGCUCAAAUUUGAAAUCUGGCAGUCUUUUUUUUCUUCUUUGGCUGUCCGAGUUGUAAUCUAGAGAAGUGCUUACCUGCGCUGGACCAUGUAUAAGUCUCCUGGAAUGGAGCGUCACAGAGGGUGAGAAUCCCGUCUUUGACAUGGACUGCCAGUGUGUUGUGGUGUGCUCUCAAAGAGUCGAGUUGUUUGGGAAUGCAGCUCUAAAUGGGUGGUAAACUCCAUCUAAAGCUAAAUAUUGGCGAGAGACCGAUAGUGAACAAGUACCGUGAGGGAAAGAUGAAAAGGACUUUGGAAAGAGAGUUAAACAGUAUGUGAAAUUGUUGAAAGGGAAACGCUUGAAGUCAGUUAUGUUGACUAGGGAUCAACCUAGCUAUUUUUUUUUUGCUGGGUGAAUUUCCUAGUCUGACAGGCCAACAUCAGUCUUGACUGCUGGAAAAGAGCAGAGGGAAUGUGGCACCUUUGGGUGUGUUUAUAGCCCUUUGUCAUAUGUGGCAGUUGGGACUGAGGGAUGCAGCAUGCCGUGAGGCUGGGUUUUUGACCACGUUCAUGCUUAGGAUGUUGGCUUUUAAUGGCUUCAAUCGACCCGUCUUGAAACACGGACCAAGGAGUCUAACAUGCCUGCGAGUGUUUGGGUGGGGAAAACCCUUGUGCACAAUGAAAGUGAAAGUUGAGAUCCCUGUCAUGGGGAGCAUCGACGCCCGGACCUGAGCUUUUAGCGACGGAUCCGCGGUAGAGCAUGCAUGUUGGGACCCGAAAGAUGGUGAACUAUGCCUGAAUAGGGCAAAGCCAGAGGAAACUCUGGUGGAGGCUCGUAGCGAUUCUGACGUGCAAAUCGAUCGUCAAAUUUGGGUAUAGGGGCGAAAGACUAAUCGAACCAUCUAGUAGCUGGUUCCUGCCGAAGUUUCCCUCAGGAUAGCAGAAGCUUAUUAUCAGAUUUAUGUGGUAAAGCGAAUGAUUAGAGGCCUUGGGGUUGAAACAACCUUAACCUAUUCUCAAACUUUAAAUAUGUAAGAACGAGCUGUCACUUGACUGGACUGCUCGGUGAUUGAGAGCUUCUAGUGGGCCAUUUUUGGUAAGCAGAACUGGCGAUGCGGGAUGAACCGAUCGCAAGGUUAAGGUGCCAGAGUUCACGCUCAUCAGACACCACAAAAGGUGUUAGUUCAUCUAGACAGCAGGACGGUGGCCAUGGAAGUCGGAACCCGCUAAGGAGUGUGUAACAACUCACCUGCCGAAUGAACUAGCCCUGAAAAUGGAUGGCGCUUAAGCGUGACACCCAUACCUUGCU
RNAcentral lists this ribosomal RNA (1316 nucleotides) under Amanita protecta. Its description in RNAcentral is "partial large subunit ribosomal RNA". It matches the Rfam family "Eukaryotic large subunit ribosomal RNA", at positions 76 to 1353 of the family's 3401-position model. The record is from RNAcentral. Lineage: Eukaryota; Fungi; Basidiomycota; Agaricomycetes; Agaricales; Amanitaceae.